GACGAACGCUGGCGGCGUGCUUAACACAUGCAAGUCGAACGGUAAGGCCCCUUCGGGGGUACACGAGUGGCGAACGGGUGAGUAACACGUGAGCAACCUGCCCUUGACUUUGGGAUACCAGCUGGAAACAGCUGCUAAUACCGGAUAUGACCUCUUCUCUCAUGGGUUGAGGUGGAAAGCUCCGGCGGUCAGGGAUGGGCUCGCGGCCUAUCAGCUUGUUGGUGAGGUAAUGGCUCACCAAGGCUUCGACGGGUAGCCGGCCUGAGAGAGCGACCGGCCACACUGGGACUGAGAUACGGCCCAGACUCCUACGGGAGGCAGCAGUGGGGAAUAUUGCACAAUGGGCGCAAGCCUGAUGCAGCAACGCCGCGUGCGGGAUGACGGCCUUCGGGUUGUAAACCGCUUUCAGUAGGGACGAAGCUAACGUGACGGUACCUACAGAAGAAGGACCGGCUAACUACGUGCCAGCAGCCGCGGUGAUACGUAGGGUCCGAGCGUUGUCCGGAAUUAUUGGGCGUAAAGGGCUUGUAGGCGGUCCGUCGCGUCAGGAGUGAAAACUCGGGGCUUAACCCCGAGCCUGCUUUUGAUACGGGCGGACUAGAGGGAUGCAGGGGAGAACGGAAUUCCUGGUGGAGCGGUGGAAUGCGCAGAUAUCAGGAGGAACACCGGUGGCGAAGGCGGUUCUCUGGGCAUCACCUGACGCUGAGAAGCGAAAGCGUGGGGAGCAAACAGGCUUAGAUACCCUGGUAGUCCACGCCGUAAACGGUGGGCACUAGGUGUGGGGGACAUUCCACGUUCUCCGUGCCGAAGCUAACGCAUUAAGUGCCCCGCCUGGGGAGUACGGCCGCAAGGCUAAAACCCAAAGGAAUUGACGGGGGCCCGCACAAGCGGCGGAGCAUGCGGAUUAAUUCGAUGCAACGCGAAGAACCUUACCUGGGUUUGACAUACACCGGAAAGCUGCAGAGAUGUAGCCCCCACAAGGUCGGUGUACAGGUGGUGCAUGGCUGUCGUCAGCUCGUGUCGUGAGAUGUUGGGUUAAGUCCCGCAACGAGCGCAACCCUCGUCCUAUGUUGCCAGCGGGUAAUGCCGGGGACUCAUAGGAGACUGCCGGGGUCAACUCGGAGGAAGGUGGGGAUGACGUCAAGUCAUCAUGCCCCUUAAGCCCAGGGCUUCACGCAUGCUACAAUGGCCGGUGCAAAGGGCUGCGAUACCGCAAGGUGGAGCGAAUCCCAAAAAGCCGGUCUCAGUUCGGAUUGGGGUCUGCAACUCGACCCCAUGAAGUCGGAGUCGCUAGUAAUCGCAGAUCAGCAACGCUGCGGUGAAUACGUUCCCGGGCCU
This 1338-nucleotide ribosomal RNA is filed under the name uncultured bacterium. Its description in RNAcentral is "bacterial SSU rRNA". It matches the Rfam family "Bacterial small subunit ribosomal RNA", at positions 28 to 1381 of the family's 1533-position model. The record is from RNAcentral.